UAGAAGAGAUAAUGCUAAAAUUAGUAAUAAGAAGAUACCACGAUCUUCUCCACGCACACGUGUAAGUCAGCCCGGACCAACCACUGACAAUUAACGGACCCAAUAAUAGAGGGUAAAACAACAAAACCAAAAGAACAAGAAAAGCUUGUAUAUAAUAACCGUUAACCCAACACAGGAGUGCCCAAAGGAAAGACUAAAAGGACUAGAAGGAACUCGGCAAACACAAACCCCGCCUGUUUACCAAAAACAUCGCCUCUUGCUAACAAAAUGUAUUAGAGGUCCCGCCUGCCCUGUGACAAAGUUUAACGGCCGCGGUAUCCUGACCGUGCGAAGGUAGCGUAAUCACUUGUCUUUUAAAUGAAGACCUGUAUGAAUGGCAUAACGAGGGUUUAACUGUCUCCUAAUCCCAGUCAAUGAAAUUGAUCUGUCCGUGCAGAAGCGGACAUAAAAACAUAAGACGAGAAGACCCUAUGGAGCUUUAGGCUAAAGAUCAUGCAUGUUAAGAAACUACAACUUCCAAAAGAACAAACAAAAAGUUACACAAACUAAAUGUUAACUGAUCCUAAUGCCUUCGGUUGGGGCGACCACGGGGAAAAAAGAAACCCCCACAUGGAAUGGAAACAUCCCCCUAAACUUAGAGAGACCUCUCCAAGUAACAGAACAUCUGACCAAAAAUGACCCAGGGACCAAAGAACCCUGAUUAAUGAACCAAGUUACCCUAGGGAUAACAGCGCAAUCCUUUCCCAGAGCCCAUAUCGACGAAAGGGUUUACGACCUCGAUGUUGGAUCAGGACAUCCUAAUGGUGCAGCCGCUAUUAAGGGUUCGUUUGUUCAACGAUUAACAGUCCUACGUGAUCUGAGUUCAGACCGGAGUAAUCCAGGUCGGUUUCUAUCUAUGAAAUUACUUCUUCCCAGUACGAAAGGACAGGAAAAAGGGGGCCCAUACCCAAAGCAAGCCCCACCCCCAUCUUAUGAAAACAAAUAAAAAAG
This 990-nucleotide ribosomal RNA is filed under the name Rhynchoconger flavus. Its description in RNAcentral is "partial 16S ribosomal RNA". It matches the Rfam family "Bacterial large subunit ribosomal RNA", at positions 1283 to 2792 of the family's 2925-position model. The record is from RNAcentral. Lineage: Eukaryota; Metazoa; Chordata; Actinopteri; Anguilliformes; Congridae.